Molecule: ribosomal RNA, 468 nt
Filed under: uncultured bacterium
Lineage: Bacteria
Description: partial 16S ribosomal RNA
Rfam family: Bacterial small subunit ribosomal RNA
Source: RNAcentral
GACGAACGCUGGCGGCGUGCUUAACACAUGCAAGUCGAACGGAAAGGCCCUGCUUUUGUGGGGUGCUCGAGUGGCGAACGGGUGAGUAACACGUGAGUAACCUGCCCUUGACUGUGGGAUAACUUCAGGAAACUGGGGCUAAUACCGGAUAGGAGCUACUGCUGCACGGUGGGGGUUGGAAAGUUUCGGCGGUUGUGGAUGGACUCGCGGCUUAUCAGCUUGUUGGUGGAGUAGUGGCUUACCAAGGCUUUGACGGGUAGCCGGCCUGGGAGGGUGACCGGGCACAUUGGGACUACGAGACGGACCAGAAGGGUACGGGAGGCAGCAGUGGGGAAUAUUGCACAAUGGGCGGAAGCGUGAUGUAGCAACGCCGCGUGCGUGAUGACGGCCUUCGGGGUGUAAACCGAUUUCGCCUGUGAUGAAGCGUGAGUGACGGUAAUGGGUAAAGAAGCACCGGCUAACUACGUG